UUAACUUUGGAUGUUGGGUAUUUUAUCUCAGCAACAAGAAAAGUCACUGAGACAUUCAUCUUUCAUUUGAUUCAUUUCACCAGUGGCUUCAGCAGUUUUAAAGGUGAUGUCAUGCUUUCAGUGCAUUUCCUGUCUGUGAAUACCACAAUAAGAUUGCAACAAGAACUCGGAGCUCAUUCAUCAAUAAUUGUUGAAAUAAUACCUUUAAGAGCCUGUCUGACAUUCUAGGGACUGCUGUGGCUGGAGUAGAAGGAAGGAGGGAGAGAAGGAGCAGCAGCAGACAAGGUUAGCACCCUAAGGUGUAGGUGGGAGCAGAGACAGUAUAAGAUGUGGCUCUCCUCCUAACUGGAGGGCUGAGCCUUUAUAGUCUGACUAGAGAAGCUUCCCUGUCUAAUUCAUUUUAAAAGUUUACCUGGUUGUUUUUGAGGAGCAAAGGACAGAAGGAGGUGGUCAGUGAAGGAGGUGGUCAGUGAAAGAGGUGGUCCAGAAAUUCUGGUAAACAAUAAAUUGACUUCCUUUUUUGUGGUAGAUUGAAAAAAAAAAAUCAAAAGCCCAGGUCACACAUUGUCUCUGCUGCUCUAACACUGAAAGCACAGAAACUACACUUUGAAGGAAGUUGUCUAUCAUUUGGUACCCUUUGUUCUUUCAGGACUAAAACGUGACAUGAAAUACUAGGGAGCGUAUCUCGCUCUUUUGUACUGCUCUGUGGCAUUUCAAGACCUUAGGAGCCUGUUCUAGUAUUGAGCCCAAGGAAUUCUGG
Molecule: long non-coding RNA, 760 nt
Filed under: Heterocephalus glaber (naked mole-rat)
Lineage: Eukaryota; Metazoa; Chordata; Mammalia; Rodentia; Bathyergidae
Description: lncRNA (ENSHGLG00100025475.2)
Source: RNAcentral